GACGUAGGGCGCGAGCGUUGUCCGGAUUUAUUGGGCGUAAAGAGCUCGUAGGCGGCUUGUCGCGUCGUCCGUGAAAACCCACAGCUCAACUGUGGGCUUGCGGUCGAUACGGGCAGGCUAGAGUUCGGUAGGGGAGACUGGAAUUCCUGGUGUAGCGGUGAAAUGCGCAGAUAUCAGGAGGAACACCGGUGGCGAAGGCGGUUCUCUGGGCCUGUACUGACGCUGAGGAACGAAAGCGUGGGGAGCGAACAGG
Molecule: ribosomal RNA, 253 nt
Filed under: uncultured bacterium
Lineage: Bacteria
Description: partial 16S ribosomal RNA
Rfam family: Bacterial small subunit ribosomal RNA
Source: RNAcentral